AAAGGGAAAAAAAACAUAUACCAAUUUACACCAUAUUUUAUUGUGAGAGAUUCCAACAGGAAUGUAACAUCUAGACUCUCCACGUUCAGAGAGGUAUCCAGCGUCUUCAGCGGGUCUCAAGUUUCCAAUACUUCAGGGAGGAGUGGCUAACUUUUUUUUCGAAUUGUUAAUGUUUCGUAGUCUCAUUACAAGCUGUUGUCUUUCACCCUCUACUUCUGCAAACUUCAGACUUAUCUCCGAAUAUCUCUCUUGCAUAUCCUUCAAUUCACCUUCCAUUGAUUGAUUUCUCUCCUUCAGAGAUGCCAUUUCAUUUAAUAAUUCACUGAGGUUUCCUUGAUCUCGGGAAUCAGUAAUAGAUUUUUUCAGUUCAUUCUCUGAUGAAAUGUCACCGUCACUGCAUAGGUAAACAUGGGGAUUAGAAUACUAAAUGCAGUGUCAUAAAGAGGGAUUCAGGCUUGAAUUGUUUCAAGUCAUUCAAAC
This 480-nucleotide long non-coding RNA is filed under the name Panax ginseng (ginseng). RNAcentral describes it as "long non-coding RNA (PGIN_LNC010552)". The record is from RNAcentral. Lineage: Eukaryota; Viridiplantae; Streptophyta; Magnoliopsida; Apiales; Araliaceae.